Long non-coding RNA from Thalassophryne amazonica, 123 nucleotides. RefSeq lists it as uncharacterized. The record is from RefSeq and is a predicted model, not a curated record. NCBI's taxonomy places the organism in Eukaryota, Metazoa, Chordata, Actinopteri, Batrachoidiformes, Batrachoididae. The transcript has 4 exons.
CUCUGGUAGAUGAAUAAUCCUGAACCCUCAGGAAAUAGAGUCUCUGCUGCACCUUCUUGAUGGUGGCCAUGAUGUUAGUGCUCCAAGUCAGGUCAUCCUUCAGGUGCACACACAGAAACUGGA